GCCUGGCUGGCUCAGAAGAGCGUGCGACUCUUGAUCUUGGGGUUGUGGGUUCAAGUCACACGUUGGGUG
Molecule: transfer RNA, 69 nt
Filed under: Felis catus (domestic cat)
Lineage: Eukaryota; Metazoa; Chordata; Mammalia; Carnivora; Felidae
Also listed under: 4 other names
Rfam family: tRNA
About the family: Transfer RNA (tRNA) molecules are approximately 80 nucleotides in length.
Source: Rfam by way of RNAcentral